CAUACAUAUAGCGUCGCGGUGGGACGAUUCAGGAGCGGAUAAUGUUUUUGUUGGCCGCUACGUGCUCUGAUAAUUAAGACAUUUCCAUUUAAAGUUGACGUCCGGUGACGUGCGGAGAUGCGCCUGGAGCGCGUUCGUUUUCGGCGGUCCACGCUUCAGAAAAACCUAAUCCUCAUGCAUUGUGUUGAUAAUUAAUGGUGUAUGAUCGAGGGUUCCGUUCCUGGAACGAGGGAACGUAGCUGUAUAAGAAAGGAACGAUACGUAGAAAAAAUGACAGCUCAUAACCUAUUAACCAGGUCAUUUCUUAACCAGCAACUUCUAUAAUCAUAGGAUUGAUAGAAUUAAUAUAAGCAACAAAAUUAAAUAAUCGUAGAAAAGAGAUUUGGAUUCGAAUGACGAGUCAACUCGAUCUCCCUUGUUAACAGGUUAAAAGUGGCAUGAUUAAUUGUAAAUCAUAAGAAGUAAUUCAUAAGAGUAGCGGUGAAUAAAAAAUUGUGAUAUAAGAUUGAAA
Molecule: long non-coding RNA, 511 nt
Organism: Bombus pyrosoma
Lineage: Eukaryota; Metazoa; Arthropoda; Insecta; Hymenoptera; Apidae
Exons: 3
Source: RefSeq, a predicted model, not a curated record